UGGAACUGGGCAUGAUCAUAGGU
RNAcentral lists this non-coding RNA (23 nucleotides) under Cricetulus griseus (Chinese hamster). The record is from RNAcentral. Lineage: Eukaryota; Metazoa; Chordata; Mammalia; Rodentia; Cricetidae.